AGGGCAUUUGGUGGAUGCCUUGGCAUGCACAGGCGAUGAAGGACGUGAUACGCUGCGAUAAGCGUCGGGGAGGUGCGAAUACCCUUUGAUCCGACGAUUUCCGAAUGGGGCAACCCACCUUAGAUGACUAGAAAAUCUGUUUUGUUGGAGCAACGCUGGAUGGGUUUACACCCAUACAGACCGCUAGGUCGUCGGCCCAUGUGGGCCGCCCCCGCGGAGCGCCAGCAUUCCUCUGGAAUGCGUACGGCGCGUGAGCGAGAACAGCACAGCUUUCUAGUCAUCAUAAAUAAGGUAUCUAACCUUGAAUACAUAGGGGUUAGAAGCGAACCUGGGGAACUGAAACAUCUAAGUACCCAGAGGAAAGGACAUCAAACGAGACUCCGCUAGUAGUGGCGAGCGAACGCGGACCAGGCCAGUGGCUUUUGUGAAUAAAGUGGAAUGAGUUGGAAAACUCGACCGAAGUGGGUGAUAGUCCCGUACACGUAGAAUAGCAGAAGUCCUUGAGUAGGGCGGGACACGUGAAAUCCUGUCUGAACAUGGGUCGACCACGAUCCAAGCCUAAGUACUCGUGCAUGACCGAUAGCGAACCAGUACCGUGAGGGAAAGGUGAAAAGCACCCCGACGAGGGGAGUGAAACAGUACCUGAAACCGGAUGCCUACAAACAGUUGGAGCCCAAGGUUUGUCCUGGGUGACAGCGUACCUUUUGUAUAAUGGGUCAGCGACUUAGUGUAUCGAGCAAGCUUAAGCCGGUAGGUGUAGGCGCAGCGAAAGCGAGUCUGAACAGGGCGUUCAGUUCGAUGCAUUAGACCCGAAACCAAGUGAUCUAGCCAUGAGCAGGUUGAAGGUACGGUAACACGUACUGGAGGACCGAACCCAUAUCUGUUGCAAUAGAUCGGGAUGACUUGUGGCUAGGGGUGAAAGGCCAAUCAAACUUGGAGAUAGCUGGUUCUCCGCGAAAUCUAUUUAGGUAGAGCGUCGACCGAAUACCCCCGGGGGUAGAGCACUGGAUGGGCUAUGGGGACUCACCGUCUUACUGAUCCUAACCAAACUCCGAAUACCGGGGAGUACUAGUCGGCAGACACACGGCGGGUGCUAACGUCCGUCGUGGAGAGGGCAACAACCCUGACCACCAUCUAAGGUCCCUAAGUUAUGGCUAAGUGGGAAAGGAUGUGAGGAUCCCAAAACAACCAGGAUGUUGGCUUAGAAGCAGCCAUCAUUUAAAGAAAGCGUAACAGCUCACUGGUCUAAAUAAGGGUCUUUGCGCCGAAAAUGUACCGGGGCUCAAGCCAUACACCGAAGCUGUGGAUGCACGUAUGUGCGUGGUAGCGGAGCGUUCCGUAAGCCUGUGAAGGGACAGUCGUGAGACAUCCUGGAGGUAUCGGAAGUGAGAAUGCUGACAUGAGUAACGAUAAAGGGAGUGAGAGACUCCCUCGCCGAAAGUCCAAGGGUUCCUGCUUAAAGUUAAUCUGAGCAGGGUUAGCCGGCCCCUAAGGCGAGGCCGAAAGGCGUAGUCGAUGGGAACCACGUUAAUAUUCGUGGGCCUGCAGGUAGUGACGGAUCGCGUGUGUUGUGAGGUCUUAUUGGAUUGAUCUUGCAGCGAAGCGGUUCCAGGAAAUAGCUCCUGCAUAUAGACCGUACCCUAAACCGACACUGGUGGACUGGUAGAGAAUACCAAGGCGCUUGAGAGAACUGCGUUGAAGGAACUCGGCAAAAUGCACGCGUAACUUCGGAAGAAGCGUGACCUCACUAUGGGCAACCAUAGGGGGGUGGCACAGACCAGGGGGUAGCGACUGUUUACCAAAAACACAGGGCUCUGCGAAGUCGCAAGACGACGUAUAGGGUCUGACGCCUGCCCGGUGCUGGAAGGUUAAGAGGAGAGGUGCAAGCCUUGAAUUGAAGCCCCAGUAAACGGCGGCCGUAACUAUAACGGUCCUAAGGUAGCGAAAUUCCUUGUCGGGUAAGUUCCGACCUGCACGAAUGGCGUAACGACUUCCCCGCUGUCUCCAACGCAGACUCAGUGAAAUUGAAUUCCCCGUGAAGAUGCGGGGUUCCUGCGGUUAGACGGAAAGACCCCGUGCACCUUUACUAUAGCUUUACACUGGCAUUCGUGACGACAUGUGUAGGAUAGGUGGUAGACUUUGAAGCAGGGGCGCCAGCCUUUGUGGAGUCACCCUUGAAAUACCACCCUUGUUUUUAUGGAUGUCUAACUGCGGCCCGUUAUCCGGGUCCAGGACCGUGUAUGGUGGGUAGUUUGACUGGGGCGGUCGCCUCCUAAAGAGUAACGGAGGCGCGCGAUGGUAGGCUCAGAACGGUCGGAAAUCGUUCGUCGAGUGCAAUGGCAUAAGCCUGCCUGACUGCAAGACUGACAAGUCGAGCAGAGACGAAAGUCGGUCAUAGUGAUCCGGUGGUCCCGCGUGGAAGGGCCAUCGCUCAACGGAUAAAAGGUACGCCGGGGAUAACAGGCUGAUGACCCCCAAGAGUCCAUAUCGACGGGGUUGUUUGGCACCUCGAUGUCGACUCAUCGCAUCCUGGGGCUGGAGCAGGUCCCAAGGGUAUGGCUGUUCGCCAUUUAAAGCGGUACGUGAGUUGGGUUCAGAACGUCGUGAGACAGUUCGGUCCCUAUCUGCCGUGGGUGUAGGAAUAUUGACAGGAUCUGUCCCUAGUACGAGAGGACCGGGAUGGACGUAUCUCUGGUGGACCUGUUGUGGCGCCAGCC
Molecule: ribosomal RNA, 2717 nt
Filed under: Brucella sp. F5/99
Lineage: Bacteria; Pseudomonadati; Pseudomonadota; Alphaproteobacteria; Hyphomicrobiales; Brucellaceae
Description: bacterial LSU rRNA
Rfam family: Bacterial large subunit ribosomal RNA
Source: RNAcentral